Molecule: long non-coding RNA, 1320 nt
Filed under: Salmo salar (Atlantic salmon)
Lineage: Eukaryota; Metazoa; Chordata; Actinopteri; Salmoniformes; Salmonidae
Description: lncRNA (ENSSSAG00000102320.1)
Source: RNAcentral
AGAGAAUCCAUCAGCAGCUACACGUCUUCCCUCAGUGCUGCCUUCAAGUCUGCCACUUGUCUUUGACAAUGACUACAAACUGCCAGAGGAGGCAGUAGAGGGCACCAGCAAGUGUCCAGUUGCCAGUGAAGCAGCCGCUUCCGUGUCCACUGUCCUCCAAGAGGAGUUUUUGGCUGGUAAAAGUCCUCCUGCACCCGCAGCACUGCCUCUAAGGCUGCCCUGUACCCACAGCAUUGACCACAAACAGCUAUGGGAGACAGUUGAGGACAACACAGAGCGCUUAGUUGACACAGAGGAAAGUGCAGUUUCAUCCACUGUCAAGAGAGAGGAACUGAUAGGUGAUACAAACCCUGUCCUAGCACUUCCUCCAAGCCUGGCAUGCAUCCAUGACAAAGACCACAAUGAUCCAAAUCAGAAAGGGAGGGGCACUACUAAGGAGGUGUAUCUCUGCCCUCACGCUCACCAGCUGGACCCAGAUGCUAACUUAACUCUGUCAACCCACAAUGAUGAACCCAGGACCUGGACCCUGGAAGAGACAAAGGAUUAUAGGAUUGGCAUUGACAUUGAGAGUGAAGAGAGGAGCGUCCAGGAGGAGGUGAGACCGAGGGAGGGGUUGAAGUGUGAUGCGGACUGUGCCCAUUCCAAGAGCUCCAAUGGGAUGGUUUCAUCAGAGAGAGCAGAGACCAUCCUGGGAAGAGUGGGCUUUCUGGUCAGGAACCACAUGCAGAAAAUCCCAUUUUUGAAGAUGGAGGAAAAAGAGGAAUGUAAGAAACUGAAUAAGAAGUUGAAAGAUGACGAGAAAGAGAGAAAGGAGAUGAAAAACAAGGAGGAGGAGCAAAAAAAGAGGGAGAAGAAAGAGAUGAAAGAGAGAGAGAAAGAGCAGAAGAAAGUCAUGAAGGCUGAGAAAAAGAGGGAGAAGUUAGAACAGAAAAAGAGAGAGAAGGAAAGAAAAGAGGAGGACAAGGCAGAGAAAAAGAGGUUAGAGGGGCUGAUGAAGAUACAUAAUGACAUGAUGAAAGACAGGAUUAAGAAAGAGAAGAAGUGUUCUGAUGAGCUGAAAAAGAGAGAGAAAGCUCAAGCUGAGUUCCUGGAGAUGGAGAGAAAGAUUCAAGAAAAGGAGGAGAAGAAGAGAGAAAAGUUGAGGAAAGAGGAGAGGAAGAGACUGGAGAAGAAGAAAAAGAGUGAGCCAGUUGGAGGUGGAACUGAGAGGGUGAUAGAAGAGCAGGGGAGGGAUGAAAGCUUGAAGAUGGAUGAGUAGACUGGUUAAUAGAGAGAGAGAGCAGGGAGGAAUACUGUAUAUUUGCAUGCAUUGAAAAAAGG